GACGAACGCUGGCGGCGUGCUUAAUACAUGCAAGUCGAACGGACGGACGAGAAUGUUGGUUCUCGGAUGUUAGCGGCGGACGUGAGAGUAACAUGAGGAUAACCUACCUAUAAGACUGCGAUAACAUCGUGAAACUGGAGCUAAUACGGGAUGAUAUUUUGAAGCGCAUGGUUGAAAAGUUAAAGACGGUCUUGCUGGCACUGCUAGAUGGAUCCGCGCUGGUUGAGCUGGUUGGUAAGGUAACGGCUUACCAAGGCAGCAAUGCAUAGCCGACCUGAGAGGGUGAUGGGCGACACUGGAGCUGAGACGCGGUCCAGAGUCCUACGGGAGGCACCAGUAGCGAAUGUUCGGCAAUGGGCGGAAGACUGACGGAGCAGCGGCAGGCGGGUGAUGAAAGUCUUCGGAUCGUAAGACUGUGUUAUGGGUGUAAAACAUAUGUGUAAGUAGCUGAGCACGUCGUGACGGUACCUGAUCAAGAAGCACCGGCUAACUACGUG
RNAcentral lists this ribosomal RNA (497 nucleotides) under uncultured bacterium. RNAcentral describes it as "partial 16S ribosomal RNA". It matches the Rfam family "Bacterial small subunit ribosomal RNA", at positions 28 to 507 of the family's 1533-position model. The record is from RNAcentral.